CCUACGGGGGGCUGCAGUGGGGAAUAUUGGACAAUGGGGGGAACCCUGAUCCAGCCAUGCCGCGUCUGUGAAGAAGGCCCUCGGGUUGUAAAGCACUUUCAGUGAGGAAGAACGCCUGGUGGUUAAUACCCAUCAGGAAAGACAUCACUCACAGAAGAAGCACCGGCUAACUCCGUGCCAGCAGCCGCGGUAAUACGGAGGGUGCGAGCGUUAAUCGGAAUUACUGGGCGUAAAGCGCGCGUAGGUGGCUUGAUAAGCCGGUUGUGAAAGCCCCGGGCUCAACCUGGGAACGGCAUCCGGAACUGUCAAGCUAGAGUGCAGGAGAGGAAGGUAGAAUUCCCGGUGUAGCGGUGAAAUGCGUAGAGAUCGGGAGGAAUACCAGUGGCGAAGGCGGCCUUCUGGACUGACACUGACACUGAGGUGCGAAAGCGUGGGUAGCAAACAGGAUUAGAUACCCGGGUAGUC
RNAcentral lists this ribosomal RNA (465 nucleotides) under Vreelandella stevensii. RNAcentral's name for it is "partial 16S ribosomal RNA". It matches the Rfam family "Bacterial small subunit ribosomal RNA", at positions 338 to 795 of the family's 1533-position model. The record is from RNAcentral. Lineage: Bacteria; Pseudomonadati; Pseudomonadota; Gammaproteobacteria; Oceanospirillales; Halomonadaceae.